UCUAAGUAAAUCACAGGAAACAAGCCAUAAAGGAAUUUAAACAGAGUGUAAUAGCCAGGGGGACUUAGAAAAAGAAGAAACCACUGAACAGCUGUUUGGGGACUGAAUUCUAUGUGGCACUUCCUUUUUCUUUCACUGAGUUGAGCAGUUACUAAUGGAGUCAGUCAGUUCAGACUAAAGGAACAUAAUGCAAUACCUAGAACAUGACAGGUACACAAUCAAUGUUUGUUGAUUGUCAUACACUUAGUACUGUGAACAAGGGGAUGACCAGGAGCAAAGAGAAAUCUGAAGUUUGAAGAGAUGCUGAGAAAAGGAACAAAUGGAACUUUCACAAGACCAUGGGGGGUAGAAUGGAAUUCCAUCCAGGUUCAAAAGCAGUUGGAGCUAAAGACCAAGAGUUCUUCUGAUCUGGGACUCUGUGUGGAGCUGGGUGGAAGAAAUACCAAUCUCAAAAUCCUUUUGCUUGAACUGAAUGAAGAUCUCAAUGCUCAACUGAAGCCAAUCUUUGGGAUACUCUCUUUUUCCCUUAGGGGAACCUAGAGUGUAUUCCCUGAAGAGAUUUCCUUGGUCAAGCCCUCAAGAAUUAUAUUAGGAAAGAAAUCUUUCCUCUUGCUUCUGACCUUUCCUUUCCUCAUUCUUUCAACAACCCAAUACCUGAAUAAAUUGGACACCUUGAGUUAUACCAGAAA
Monodelphis domestica (gray short-tailed opossum) is the source of this 689-nucleotide long non-coding RNA. RefSeq lists it as uncharacterized. The record is from RefSeq and is a predicted model, not a curated record. Lineage: Eukaryota; Metazoa; Chordata; Mammalia; Didelphimorphia; Didelphidae.